UGAGGAAUAUUGGACAAUGGGCGCAAGCCUGAUCCAGCAAUGCCGCGUGCAGGAUGAAGGCCUUCGGGUUGUAAACUGCUUUUGUACGGAGCGAAAAGGUCUGCCCUAAUACGGUGGGCUCAUGGCGGUACCGUAAGAAUAAGCACCGGCUAACUACGUGCCAGCAGCCGCGGUAAUACGUAGGGUGCGAGCGUUAAUCGGAAUUACUGGGCGUAAAGCGUGCGCAGGCGGUUAUAUAAGACAGAUGUGAAAUCCCCGGGCUCAACCUGGGACCUGCAUUUGUGACUGUAUAGCUAGAGUACGGUAGAGGGGGAUGGAAUUCCGCGUGUAGCAGUGAAAUGCGUAGAUAUGCGGAGGAACACCGAUGGCGAAGGCAAUCCCCUGGACCUGUACUGACGCUCAUGCACGAAAGCGUGGGGAGCAAACA
Molecule: ribosomal RNA, 427 nt
Filed under: uncultured bacterium
Lineage: Bacteria
Description: bacterial SSU rRNA
Rfam family: Bacterial small subunit ribosomal RNA
Source: RNAcentral